This 107-nucleotide small nuclear RNA is filed under the name Mus spretus (western wild mouse). The record is from RNAcentral. Lineage: Eukaryota; Metazoa; Chordata; Mammalia; Rodentia; Muridae.
GUGCUCGCUUCAGCAGCACAUAUACUAAAACUGGAACGAUACAGAGAAGAUUAGCAUGGCCCCUGCGCAAGGAUGACACACAAAUUCGUGAAGUGUUCCAUAUUUUU